Long non-coding RNA from Salvia splendens (bonfire salvia), 156 nucleotides. RefSeq lists it as uncharacterized. The transcript has 3 exons. NCBI's taxonomy places the organism in Eukaryota, Viridiplantae, Streptophyta, Magnoliopsida, Lamiales, Lamiaceae. The record is from RefSeq and is a predicted model, not a curated record.
CCCCAAUCUCCAUUUCCGCCGGCGUCGGCUAUUCAAAUCACCUUCUCAUCUUGGAAGGUUCUCCACCGCCACUCAGUUCAUCACAGGUAAAGCUGUGCUGGGAUUUUUGCGCAUUUAUAUGUAUAUGACUUGAGAUCCAGUGAUUUAUGCGGAUGA